GACGAACGCUGGCGGCGUGCCUAAUACAUGCAAGUCGAACGCUUCUUUCCUCCCGAGUGCUUGCACUCAAUUGGAAAGAGGAGUGGCGGACGGGUGAGUAACACGUGGGUAACCUACCCAUCAGAGGGGGAUGACACUUGGAAACAGGUGCUAAUACCGCAUAACAGUUUAUGCCGCAUGGCAUAAGAGUGAAAGGCGCUUUCGGGUGUCGCUGAUGGAUGGACCCGCGGUGCAUUAGCUAGUUGGUGAGGUAACGGCUCACCAAGGCCACGAUGCAUAGCCGACCUGAGAGGGUGAUCGGCCACACUGGGACUGAGACACGGCCCAGACUCCUACGGGAGGCAGCAGUAGGGAAUCUUCGGCAAUGGACGAAAGUCUGACCGAGCAACGCCGCGUGAGUGAAGAAGGUUUUCGGAUCGUAAAACUCUGUUGUUAGAGAAGAACAAGGACGUUAGUAACUGAACGUCCCCUGACGGUAUCUAACCAGAAAGCCACUGCUAACUACGUG
This 508-nucleotide ribosomal RNA is filed under the name uncultured bacterium. RNAcentral's name for it is "partial 16S ribosomal RNA". It matches the Rfam family "Bacterial small subunit ribosomal RNA", at positions 28 to 507 of the family's 1533-position model. The record is from RNAcentral.